UACGAGGGGGGCGAGCGUUGUUCGGAAUCACUGGGCGUAAAGCGUGCGUAGGCGGUCUUGAAAGUUAGGAGUGAAAGCCCCAGGCUCAACCUGGGAAUUGCUCUUAAUACUACAAAACUUGAAUCUCGGAGAGGAUAGCGGAAUUGUCAGUGUAGCAGUGAAAUGCGUAGAUAUUGACAGGAACACCAGUGGCGUAAGCGGCUAUCUGGACGAGUAUUGACGCUGAGGCACGAAAGCGUGGGGAUCAAACAGG
Molecule: ribosomal RNA, 253 nt
Filed under: uncultured bacterium
Lineage: Bacteria
Description: partial 16S ribosomal RNA
Rfam family: Bacterial small subunit ribosomal RNA
Source: RNAcentral